GCCGUUUUUGUAACGAUACGGGGAUGUCAGUAACUUUAGCCCUCUUGAGCUGUUUCCGCUUGAAUUCGCCGUCCCCCAGCUGAUUUAUGGUUUUAACAGUAAACAGAAAUAUGGCGCUAUUUACAUUAGAGUCCUGUGUUACACCUGCCAAGCAAUCCACGACAUGCAGAAUGACAAGAGUGCCUUGGGGCUUUUCCAGGCCAGUCAGCCUUUGUUUAAGAAACCAAGAAAAGGCGAACAAAGGCAGCUAUAGUAACAGCUAAAGGUCCUUAUAUACUGUAAUACUUAAUGCUACCAGUCGGGGGCAUUCCUGUUUCAUCACAGACUAGAGAAAGAUAGCCAUCCUGCGGCUGUCAAAUAGACGGACGGCCGCUCGGGCCACGUGACCCUGCGGCCAGCCAAUGAGAGGCGACACUUUUGGUUGUUUAUGUCAGACGUAAUGGGAUAAUUUGGAGGAAAAAAAUGUUCAUUAUAGAACUAAUGAAGAUUUGCUGGCCGGGUAAGUUGCUACGGUUAGGUGUUUGUGGACACUGAAAAAUAAUCCUGACAGUUUAAAGUGUUAAUAUGAGUAAUUCAAAUCUAUCUAUCUAUCUAUCUAUCUAUCUAUCUAUCUA
Long non-coding RNA from Haplochromis burtoni (Burton's mouthbrooder), 614 nucleotides. RefSeq lists it as uncharacterized. The transcript is spliced from 3 exons. The record is from RefSeq and is a predicted model, not a curated record. Lineage: Eukaryota; Metazoa; Chordata; Actinopteri; Cichliformes; Cichlidae.